AGAGUUUGAUCAUGGCUCAGGACGAACGCUGGCGGCGUGCCUAAUACAUGCAAGUCGAGCGAGCGGAACUAACAGAUUUACUUCGGUAAUGACGUUAGGAAAGCGAGCGGCGGAUGGGUGAGUAACACGUGGGGAACCUGCCCCAUAGUCUGGGAUACCACUUGGAAACAGGUGCUAAUACCGGAUAAGAAAGCAGAUCGCAUGAUCAGCUUUUAAAAGGCGGCGUAAGCUGUCGCUAUGGGAUGGCCCCGCGGUGCAUUAGCUAAUUGGUAAGGUAAAGGCUUACCAAGGCGAUGAUGCAUAGCCGAGUUGAGAGACUGAUCGGCCACAUUGGGACUGAGACACGGCCCAAACUCCUACGGGAGGCAGCAGUAGGGAAUCUUCCACAAUGGACGCAAGUCUGAUGGAGCAACGCCGCGUGAGUGAAGAAGGUUUUCGGAUCGUAAAGCUCUGUUGUUGGUGAAGAAGGAUAGAGGUAGUAACUGGCCUUUAUUUGACGGUAAUCAACCAGAAAGUCACGGCUAACUACGUGCCAGCAGCCGCGGUAAUACGUAGGUGGCAAGCGUUGUCCGGAUUUAUUGGGCGUAAAGCGAGCGCAGGCGGAAGAAUAAGUCUGAUGUGAAAGCCCUCGGCUUAACCGAGGAACUGCAUCGGAAACUGUUUUUCUUGAGUGCAGAAGAGGAGAGUGGAACUCCAUGUGUAGCGGUGGAAUGCGUAGAUAUAUGGAAGAACACCAGUGGCGAAGGCGGCUCUCUGGUCUGCAACUGACGCUGAGGCUCGAAAGCAUGGGUAGCGAACAGGAUUAGAUACCCUGGUAGUCC
Molecule: ribosomal RNA, 821 nt
Filed under: uncultured bacterium
Lineage: Bacteria
Description: bacterial SSU rRNA
Rfam family: Bacterial small subunit ribosomal RNA
Source: RNAcentral